This 253-nucleotide ribosomal RNA is filed under the name uncultured bacterium. RNAcentral's name for it is "partial 16S ribosomal RNA". It matches the Rfam family "Bacterial small subunit ribosomal RNA", at positions 524 to 776 of the family's 1533-position model. The record is from RNAcentral.
UACAGAGGGUGCGAGCGUUGUCCGGAAUCACUGGGCGUAAAGGGCGCGUCGGUGGCGGGCCAAGUCCAUGGUGAAAGCUCGAUGCUCAACAUCGAGUCGGCCACGGAUACUGGUUCGCUCGAGCACUGUAGAGGCUAAUGGAAUUCCGGGUGUAGCGGUGGAAUGCGUAGAGAUCCGGAAGAACACCGGUGGCGAAGGCGGUUAGCUGGGCAGUUGCUGACACUGAGGCGCGACAGCGUGGGGAGCAAACAGG